RNAcentral lists this long non-coding RNA (303 nucleotides) under Rattus norvegicus (Norway rat). Its description in RNAcentral is "long non-coding RNA NONRATT001677". Lineage: Eukaryota; Metazoa; Chordata; Mammalia; Rodentia; Muridae. The record is from RNAcentral.
UAGUAGGGUGUCCAAGCCUCCACUUCCGAGGUAUGAGUUGGGUCAUCAGACCUUUGCUCAGUCUUGGGUCCAUUGAAAGAGCUGGGUGAGAAGCCGCCUCACCGGGGAUUCUGGAUUAGGAUGAUCUGCAUUUAUAAUAUUCAUGAUUUCAAAUUAUGAGCACAAGUGGGGUUUGAUCACUGCUGAUUGAAGAAUUGCUGCUGAAGGCAGUGGAAGUGUGAGCUGAUGGGACAAACUUUGAAAUUAAGCAAGGACUCUGCAGGAUAUACAAGCUAUGGAAAGGAAAUAAAGUAGUUGGACCCU